Molecule: non-coding RNA, 348 nt
Organism: Vicia faba (fava bean)
Lineage: Eukaryota; Viridiplantae; Streptophyta; Magnoliopsida; Fabales; Fabaceae
Source: the annotation of a GenBank genome assembly
UCGGUCGAUUUUAAGGUGGACCGUGUCAACCCAGAAAGGUACAAGAUCAAGUGUGUCCAUCCUGACUGUAUGCUCAAGCUCACUGCAUCAUACAAAUUAAGAGGUGACUGUUGGGUCAUAGGUUCUAUGACUACCCACACUUGUGUAAGUUCUACCCAAUCACAGGACCAUCAAAAACUUAAUUACGAUCUCAUUUGUCAAGAAAUCCUACCACUGGUCAGCAAUGACCCAUCUUUGAAGGUGAAAACCAUUAUCUCCCACAUCACCACGGUUUUUAACUAUACUUCGUCUUACCGUAAGGCGUGGUUAGCAAAGACCAAGGCGAUUGAAAAGGUGUACGGAAACUGG